UACGAAGGGUGCAAGCGUUAUUCGGAUUUAUUGGGCGUAAAGGGUUCGUAGGCGGGAUUAUAAGUCAAGUGUGAAAUCCCCAAGCUUAACUUGGGACGUGCAUUUGAAACUGUGAUUCUUGAGUCAUUGAGAGGGUGGUGGAAUUGUUGGUGUAGAAGUGACAUCCGUAGAGAUCAACAGGAACAUCAGAGGCGAAAGCGGCCACCUGGCAAUGUACUGACGCUGAGGAACGAAAGCGUGGGGAGCAAACAGG
Molecule: ribosomal RNA, 253 nt
Filed under: uncultured bacterium
Lineage: Bacteria
Description: partial 16S ribosomal RNA
Rfam family: Bacterial small subunit ribosomal RNA
Source: RNAcentral